This 873-nucleotide long non-coding RNA is filed under the name Triticum aestivum (bread wheat). RNAcentral describes it as "long non-coding RNA (TAES_LNC024014)". The record is from RNAcentral. Lineage: Eukaryota; Viridiplantae; Streptophyta; Magnoliopsida; Poales; Poaceae.
CCAGAACGAAAAUAAAUACAUAAAACAGAACAAACGAGUGGUACUUAUCGGGCUGUAACUGGGCUAUACUGUUGGGCGAUCCAACGCUAUAAGGCGCUCGGCCGAAACUUAACGAAACUGAUUCAGUGAGUAAAAAAAAUAAAAAAAAUCAGAUCUAACAUAGGCGAUUAGAUCUUGAUCUGACGGCCAAGGGGUGUUUGCUGCGGGGCUAAACAAACGAACGCCCGCAACAUAAAAGAUAAUGAUUCAAAGAAAAAAAGAACCUAGAUCUAAUCAGGACUGUUGCUAUGAGAACUAAUGGACGGGAGAUGGCGACGGCGUCUUACAGCGGUGGCCUCGCCGGCAGGGAAGAAGACAGCGGCGGAGCGGCGUCGGACGCGAAGAGGCGGCAGCUCCAGGGCUCGUCGACGUCGAGCGAAUUCUUGGGGAGGCUCGACGCGGGGUGGUGCGUCCGAUGAUGGAGGCCGCGUCGGUCUAGGACGACGGUGGCGACGAGAGCGAACUUCAGGAGAGCUUGGGAAGCUUGGUCCGGCACGAGUCUGCGAGAUUGAAAAGGUCAGGGAGAUGCGGCGCAUUGAGGAGGAGCGAACAGAGGAGCGGAGGGACUCGGGGAACCUUCAGUGGUGACCAAAUCGGCCGGCGAUAGAAGCUUCGGGCGAGAACUCCGGCGAGAUCGAUCGGGUGCUCUAGGGUACGGGAGCUGCCGGUUUUUGCGGAAAUCAGCAGAGGAGAGGAAGAGCAUUAUUUAUAGGGAGGCGGGCGUGCGCAAGGCACAAGAAAUCAGGUCGAAACAAUGAGGAUUUGAUAUGGAACAGGGGCUGCCGUGCGUGAGGAACCAUCUGUCCCAAUUCUUGCGCAAGAGGUUGAAGAAGG